This 73-nucleotide transfer RNA is filed under the name Pteropus alecto (black flying fox). It matches the Rfam family "tRNA". Rfam says of the family: Transfer RNA (tRNA) molecules are approximately 80 nucleotides in length. The record is from Rfam by way of RNAcentral. Lineage: Eukaryota; Metazoa; Chordata; Mammalia; Chiroptera; Pteropodidae.
GGUUCCAUAGUGUAGCGGUUAGUACGUCUGCUUUACACGCAGAAGGUCCUGGGUUCGCGCCCCAGUGGAGCCA